AGGAGUUUAGGUUAAACUAGACCAAGAGCCUUCAAAGCUCUAAGUAAGUAGCACAUACUUAACUCCUG
Molecule: transfer RNA, 68 nt
Filed under: Ochotona gloveri
Lineage: Eukaryota; Metazoa; Chordata; Mammalia; Lagomorpha; Ochotonidae
Description: tRNA-Trp
Source: RNAcentral